Molecule: ribosomal RNA, 253 nt
Filed under: uncultured bacterium
Lineage: Bacteria
Description: partial 16S ribosomal RNA
Rfam family: Bacterial small subunit ribosomal RNA
Source: RNAcentral
GACAGAGGUGCCAAGCGUUAGGCGGAAUCACUGGGCGUAAAGCGCGUGUAGGCUGACCGGAAAGUCGGGCGUGAAAGCCCUGGGCUCAACCCAGGAACUGCACUCGAAACUCCCGGUCUAGAGUGGUGGAGAGGGAAGUGGAAUUCCUGGUGUAGAGGUGAAAUUCGUAGAUAUCAGGAGGAACACCAGUGGCGAAGGCGGCUUCCUGGACACCAACUGACGCUGAGACGCGAAAGCGUGGGGAGCAAACAGG